Molecule: transfer RNA, 73 nt
Filed under: Ailuropoda melanoleuca (giant panda)
Lineage: Eukaryota; Metazoa; Chordata; Mammalia; Carnivora; Ursidae
Rfam family: tRNA
About the family: Transfer RNA (tRNA) molecules are approximately 80 nucleotides in length.
Source: Rfam by way of RNAcentral
ACCUGGCUGGCUCAGUCAGGACAGCAUGCAACUCUUGAUCUCGGGAUUGUGGGUUCAAGCCCCACGCUGGGUG